Molecule: ribosomal RNA, 274 nt
Filed under: uncultured bacterium
Lineage: Bacteria
Description: partial 16S ribosomal RNA
Rfam family: Bacterial small subunit ribosomal RNA
Source: RNAcentral
AUACGGAGGGUGCAAGCGUUGUGCGGAAUUACUGGGCGUAAAGCGCGCGUAGGCGGUCUGUUAUGUCAGAUGUGAAAGUCCUCGGCUCAACCGGGGAAGUGCAUUUGAAACUGGCAGACUUGAGUACUGGAGGGGGUGGUGGAAUUCCCGGUGUAGAGGUGAAAUUCGUAGAUAUCGGGAGGAAUACCGGUGGCGAAGGCGACCACCUGGCCAGAUACUGACGCUGAGGUGCGAAAGCGUGGGGAGCAAACAGGAUUAGAAACCCGGGUAGUCC